Molecule: ribosomal RNA, 426 nt
Filed under: Escherichia coli
Lineage: Bacteria; Pseudomonadati; Pseudomonadota; Gammaproteobacteria; Enterobacterales; Enterobacteriaceae
Also listed under: 1 other name
Description: bacterial SSU rRNA
Rfam family: Bacterial small subunit ribosomal RNA
Source: RNAcentral
AAAUUGAAGAGUUUGAUCAUGGCUCAGAUUGAACGCUGGCGGCAGGCCUAACACAUGCAAGUCGAACGGUAACAGGAAACAGCUUGCUGUUUCGCUGACGAGUGGCGGACGGGUGAGUAAUGUCUGGGAAACUGCCUGAUGGAGGGGGAUAACUACUGGAAACGGUAGCUAAUACCGCAUAAUGUCGCAAGACUAAAGAGGGGGACCUUCGGGCCUCUUGCCAUCGGAUGUGCCCAGAUGGGAUUAGCUAGUAGGUGGGGUAACGGCUCACCUAGGCGACGAUCCCUAGCUGGUCUGAGAGGAUGACCAGCCACACUGGAACUGAGACACGGUCCAGACUCCUACGGGAGGCAGCAGUGGGGAAUAUUGCACAAUGGGCGCAAGCCUGAUGCAGCCAUGCCGCGUGUAUGAAGAAGGCCUUCGGGU